AUACUUACCUGGCAGAGGAGAUACCAUGAUCACAAAGGUGGUUUUCCCAGGGCAAGGCUUAUCCAUUGCACUCCAGAUGUGCUGACCCCUGCAAUUUCCCCAAAUGUGGGAAACUAGACUACAUAAUUUGUGGUAGUGGGGGACUGCGUUCACACUCUCCCCUA
This 164-nucleotide small nuclear RNA is filed under the name Castor canadensis (American beaver). RNAcentral describes it as "U1 spliceosomal RNA (ENSCCNG00000002397.1)". It matches the Rfam family "U1 spliceosomal RNA". Rfam says of the family: U1 is a small nuclear RNA (snRNA) component of the spliceosome (involved in pre-mRNA splicing). Its 5' end forms complementary base pairs with the 5' splice junction, thus defining the 5' donor site of an intron. The record is from Rfam by way of RNAcentral. Lineage: Eukaryota; Metazoa; Chordata; Mammalia; Rodentia; Castoridae.